This 2700-nucleotide long non-coding RNA is filed under the name Theobroma cacao (cacao). Its description in RNAcentral is "long non-coding RNA (TCAC_LNC002569)". The record is from RNAcentral. Lineage: Eukaryota; Viridiplantae; Streptophyta; Magnoliopsida; Malvales; Malvaceae.
UUUCAUUUAAGAAUCAAAUAAUAAUAAUUUAAUAAAAUUGGUGAUACAAUAAGCAAAUUAUAACUAAGGAAAUAUAAUGAACUUAAAGAUUAAAGCCCAAUAAGAUAAUCUAAAAAUGGUGUCGUUCAUGGAACGGGCGUCCCGGGGGUGCUAAUCCUUCCCUGGGCGUAACCGUACUCCCAAACCUAGAUCUAGAAAAAUGUAGACCAGUUUAAGAUUCUCUCGGCGGGCUUAAAAUUAAUUUAAGACUUCGUCAAUUAGAAUCGAGUCAAUAGGUAGCCAAUCACACCUAGAAAAAAGAUUGGUGGUGACUCCUAAUGUGUUUUCAUCACGUCUGGCAGUCGGGUUCUCAGACCCGUACGUUACGACAAAUAUUAUUCUUGUGCUAAGCCAAAAGGGUAUUUUAUUCCAUGAGAUAUAUAAUUACUUUGAAACCAGCAAAAGCUAAUUGCCAUGUAAGAACAGAGAAAACACCAAAGUUGCCAUGGCAACCUAAAAUCUAAGAACACAUGCAACUGCGAAAACUUACCCCAUAGGAGAAACUCUUCAGCUCUCUAGCCAACAUAUCUCUAAAUUUUUCCACAACUAAUUCUUCAUCACAAUUUUCAGUAAGACCCAAUUCCACCCCGAAUGCCGAUUGGAACCUCGCAAGGCUUAGCAUCAGCUUCCGCACCUCCCUGGUGAGCGACAAUUAUUAAAUCUCGCAUUUCAAGAAAUCAUAAGUUGUUUCCAAAUCAAAAUAAUAAAAUAUUAUUUUUUUGCUCACAAGGACAUUUUCAUUAUUUUUCUUUGAAAAUACAGAAACCCACCAAAAACAUGGUGUAAAAGCUAAAUAUGUUCAUACAUACUUUAAAUCAGAUAAUUGAAGUAUAAAAUUACUUUUACAGUGACACGUGGGCCCCCAACUGACCAAGAAGGUGUAGGGCUACGAACCCUUACUUUCUAGGAUGUAACUCCGAGAUUAAUUCUCGUCUUAAUCAACUAUCAACAAACUGUCCUGAGUCUGAAAAAUAGAUAGGAAGAGGGGUGAGAUUACAUAAUCCCAGUGAGUAAACAAACACCACCUAAACUAUCUAAAGGCGAGUAAAUGGAGACAAUUAAAAAAAUUCAUUUCAGCAAAUUUUUCACAACACGAAUAUUCAUUUCAACCAAAUAAUCAAUAUGACUCGUGAAUUUCUCAAAACUUGGCUCAUGCCAAAUCCUGUACUCGGGGACACCUGGACCAAGGGUAUCCAACCGAGUCUGCCAAGGCUGUGAAAAAUUUUAUAUAAUCAUAGAACUUGUUUUUAUUUUGAAAAAAAAGCAGUAGUUCCUUGGCGUUGACUGAGUCUCACUUCACGUGGUGGUUAACGUAAAGUACACUUAAAAAGCCCACCUCAGGAGAUACCCUACGCGCCUCUACUAUCGAAGUGAGAAUAUAAAGGAGUUUACCGUGCCCCUUUAAUAGGUUGGUCCACGAAACCCCGCCACUGUAGUAGCUAAUCUUUAAUCCACCAAUUGAUCAAAUCUCAAUGGCAUAGCAUGGCAAUUACAUUACUAAUCAAUUUAUCAAGGCAAAAUAGACAGUUCAUAUUUUUCAACACAAGUAUAAAUUCAAUCAAUCAUGCCAAUUUAUCACAAGCCAUUUAAUUCAAAUCAUAAUUUACAAUAAAUCACAUCAUCUCCAAUUACUCAAAUUUUCAAAUCCAACAUUCUAUUUUCAAAUCAAUUUAUAAGAAAUUUAAUUUAUUUUAUAAUUCCAUUUAUUUUAUAAUUCCAUUUAUUUUAUAAAUUCAUAUUUUUCUCAUAAAACAAAAAAUUCAUCAUUUAAAAUAAUUUUCACAAAUCACAAAAUUGAAUAAAAACUACUCUAGAUAAUUUAGAUGAUAAUAGGUUUACUCACAGUUCUAGGAGUCGAUGUAUUUCUAAUCUCAAUCUUCAAGCACAAUCUUUGUACUUUUAUCAGUGUAAUUUACUCACCACCUAUCCACAAUGUACAAUACAUAACUCACCACAUUAAUGCUUGACCAUUAUAAAAUCAAUUCAAGCUCGGCGUAUAUGCAUGAUAUGAUAUGUAACUUAUCCGACUACCGCUUAAAUGCGGUGCUGACCUAAUUUGACCUAUUACCCUAUUAAAUGACAAUUGUGUCCGAUUUGGCUCCAAAUUGCUCCAUUUCAUUUCUAGUACCUCAAUUCACCAAACAUUAUUCAAAUAACACCAAUUUCAGAAUCAAAACCCUUCCAUUUCUUCAUGGAAAAAUUUGGUCAUUACAGUACACUAACACCGUGAUUUUUCCUACUUAAUUUUCUCACCAUUAUUCAUCAUUUUCUAAGCCAUUUCUCUUGAAAUAAUAACAAUCCAUCGCCCACACACAUCAAGGAAGAUUCGACCAAUGAAGAUUCAUGGGGAAAAUGGAUUCUUUUCUUGUUGUUUUACUUCUAAAUAUGCUAAACUAACUAAAAACACUAACAUAUCUUAAAAUCAAUUCAAUCCAACAUCUUUCUCUCUCCUUACCCAUUUUGACCAGUCAUGAAUUCAUCAUGAAAACAUGUAAUUUAACCAUGAAAAUUAAGGGAAAAUGCAUGGGUAAGAUAAAUCACUAGCAAAAUCAAAGAAAUUUUACCUUUGCUUGAUCAAAUCCUUGAAUUCCAACACUUUCUCUUUGAUUUUUCCCACCUAGGGUUUGUUCUUCCUUGGUUUCUCUUCUCUUCUGGUUUGGC